RNAcentral lists this ribosomal RNA (253 nucleotides) under uncultured bacterium. RNAcentral's name for it is "partial 16S ribosomal RNA". It matches the Rfam family "Bacterial small subunit ribosomal RNA", at positions 524 to 776 of the family's 1533-position model. The record is from RNAcentral.
GACGAAGGGGGCUAGCGUUGUUCGGAAUUACUGGGCGUAAAGCGCGUGUAGGCGGUUGUUCAAGUCGGGUGUGAAAGCCUUGAGCUCAACUCAAGAUAUGCACUCGAUACUGGAUGACUAGAGGACCGGAGAGGAUAGUGGAAUUCCCAGUGUAGUGGUGAAAUACGUAGAGAUUGGGAAGAACACCAGUGGCGAAGGCGGCUGUCUGGACGGUUUCUGACGCUAAGACGCGAAAGCGUGGGGAGCAAACAGG